AUUGAACGCUGGCGGCAGGCUUAACACAUGCAAGUCGAGCGGGGUGAUGGUGCUUGCACUAUCACUUAGCGGCGGACGGGUGAGUAAUGCUUAGGAAUCUGCCUAUUAGUGGGGGACAACAUCUCGAAAGGGAUGCUAAUACCGCAUACGUCCUACGGGAGAAAGCAGGGGAUCACUUGUGACCUUGCGCUAAUAGAUGAGCCUAAGCCGGAUUAGCUAGUUGGUGGGGUAAAGGCCUACCAAGGCGACGAUCUGUAGCGGGUCUGAGAGGAUGAUCCGCCACACUGGGACUGAGGCACGGCCCAGACUCCUACGGGAGGCAGCAGUGGGGAAUAUUGGACAAUGGGGGGAACCCUGAUCCAGCCAUGCCGCGUGUGUGAAGAAGGCCUUAUGGUUGUAAAGCACUUUAAGCGAGGAGGAGGCUCUUUUGGUUAAUACCCAAGAUGAGUGGACAUUACUCGCAGAAUAAGCACCGGCUAACUCUGUGCCAGCCGCCGCAGUAA
This 503-nucleotide ribosomal RNA is filed under the name uncultured bacterium. RNAcentral's name for it is "partial 16S ribosomal RNA". It matches the Rfam family "Bacterial small subunit ribosomal RNA", at positions 30 to 523 of the family's 1533-position model. The record is from RNAcentral.